Molecule: ribosomal RNA, 108 nt
Organism: Sinocyclocheilus rhinocerous
Lineage: Eukaryota; Metazoa; Chordata; Actinopteri; Cypriniformes; Cyprinidae
Source: Ensembl
AGCCACAGCCAUAUCACCCUGCAGCCCAAGACUGGUUGCCCACUGAAGCUAAGCAGGGUUGAGCCUGGUCAGUCUCAACCUCAUGGGAAAACUAGGUUGCUGUUGGAA